Molecule: ribosomal RNA, 372 nt
Filed under: uncultured organism
Description: bacterial SSU rRNA
Rfam family: Bacterial small subunit ribosomal RNA
Source: RNAcentral
CAGAGGUCUCAACCGUUGUUCGGAUUCAUUGGGCGUAAAGGGUGCGUAGGCGGUCGCGUAAGUCAGGUGUGAAAUCCCGGGGCUCAACCCCGGAACUGCAUUUGAUACUGCGUGGCUCGGGUACUGGAGAGGAGACUGGAAUUUACGGUGUAGCAGUGAAAUGCGUAGAUAUCGUAAGGAAGACCAGUGGCGAAGGCGAGUCUCUGGACAGUUACCGACGCUGAGGCACGAAGGACAGGGGAGCAAACGGGAUUAGAUACCCCGGUAGUCCUGACAGUAAACGGUGUACGUUUGGUGUAGGCGGAUUCGACCCCGUCUGUGCCGGAGCUAACGCGUUAAACGUACCGCCUGGGAAGUACGGUCGCAAGAUUA